Non-coding RNA from Pelodiscus sinensis (Chinese soft-shelled turtle), 716 nucleotides. The record is from RefSeq and is a predicted model, not a curated record. NCBI's taxonomy places the organism in Eukaryota, Metazoa, Chordata, Testudines, Trionychidae.
GCUGUGUCUUUCCUGGAGCAGUUACAUUACAUGAAGCCCACGCACCCCACCCAUUCUAGCCGAAGUAUUAUUUAUUAGUCUCUGCAGACUAACCCAGUGGGGCCUCGUUGGACCAACACUGCUGGGGGAAGGUGCUGCUUUCAUAGGCCUGGGGACUGGCAUUGUGUUACAAAGUGGUUAAUUAGGGACAUGGAAAUUGUCAUACUGGAUUGGAUCAACAGACUGUCUAGUCCAGUAUUCUGCCUGACAUUUGCCAGCAACAGAUACUACAGAAGAAGCCCUUUCUGAAUGGGCAACUCAAGCUUGAUAGACCAUUAAGAAGAAUCAUCUCUCCAGAUAGCUCUUCCUGAGGAUGCCUCAAACAGCAAGGAGCCAGUGGCUACUCCAGUGAUUCAGUAAAACAUAUAAGAGCAAGUGAUAAUGACAUGUGACCUUGGAUUCCAUCUUUGUCAGUAAAUUUCCAAAGACAGCAGUUGUGGGCUUUGUCUGAUAAUUUUAUAUGCACAGGGAAGAGGAUAUAAAAAUCAGGAUCAUCUCCAUUUUGUGUAAUUCCUGCUCCAGUUUUCUAGAAUAUGGAUUUACAGCUAAACGGAGUAUUUUAAACAACAGGCCAAGGACUUUCUAAUCUUUUGAAAGUUAAGACAAACAUUAUUCCGUCACUGCUACAAGCCUGAUCAGAGAACUUUACAAACAUUUAUUUGUGUGUAUAUGUAAUU